This 429-nucleotide ribosomal RNA is filed under the name uncultured bacterium. Its description in RNAcentral is "bacterial SSU rRNA". It matches the Rfam family "Bacterial small subunit ribosomal RNA", at positions 355 to 776 of the family's 1533-position model. The record is from RNAcentral.
UGGGGAAUAUUGGACAAUGGGGGCAACCCUGAUCCAGCAAUGCCGCGUGUGUGAAGAAGGCCUGCGGGUUGUAAAGCACUUUCAGUAGGGACGAAAAGCUGACGGCUAAUAUCCGUCAGUCUUGACUUAACCUACAGAAGAAGCACCGGCUAACUCCGUGCCAGCAGCCGCGGUAAUACGGAGGGUGCAAGCGUUAAUCGGAAUUACUGGGCGUAAAGCGCGCGUAGGCGGUUUGAUAAGUCGGAUGUGAAAUCCCCGGGCUCAACCUGGGAAUUGCAUUCGAUACUGUCUGACUAGAGUAUGGUAGAGGCAGGUGGAAUUUCCGGUGUAGCGGUGAAAUGCGUAGAUAUCGGAAAGAACAUCAGUGGCGAAGGCGGCCUGCUGGACCAAUACUGACGCUGAGGUGCGAAAGCGUGGGGAGCAAACAGG